CCGAAGUUACCCUUCAAAAACCCUUUGUGAACCUUACCUCUUGCCGCGUUGCCUCGGCGGGAGGCGGUGGGAACGUCGCGCUCGCGCCCCUAACAGGGCCGUGCCGCCGCCCCGCCGUCCCCGCCGGCAGCGCCAAAACUCUAUUUGCACAGCGGACUGUAUGUUCUGAUUUAUAAAAAAAACAAGUUA
RNAcentral lists this unclassified non-coding RNA (189 nucleotides) under uncultured Kernia. RNAcentral describes it as "sequence contains ITS1". Lineage: Eukaryota; Fungi; Ascomycota; Sordariomycetes; Microascales; Microascaceae. The record is from RNAcentral.